Molecule: long non-coding RNA, 511 nt
Organism: Astatotilapia calliptera (eastern happy)
Lineage: Eukaryota; Metazoa; Chordata; Actinopteri; Cichliformes; Cichlidae
Source: Ensembl
GUGGAAUUACCCUGUGGAAACAAGAAUUUUUCAUUUUAGAGCAUUUUGAAUCGUUAGAAGAUUAAGUCAAAUAUCGGCAAUUUCAAAGGGCCAUUACUAUGAAAAGCAAAAUCAGAAUGACUUGAUAUUGAUAUGGUAUCACCGUGGGGUUGUAUACUGUUGAUCUAAAGUGGAAUUACCCUGUGGAAACAGCAAAAUUCUAUUUAAGAGCAUUUUGAAAUCACUGAAAGUUAGGUCAAUUAUGGACAAUUUGAAAGGGCUUUUAUUUUUGAAAGCAAAAUCAGAAUGUCUUGAUAUUGAUAUGGUAACAUCGUGAGGUUGUAUACUGUUGAUCUAAAGUGGAAUUACCCUGUGGAAACAGGAAUUUUCCAUUUUAGAGCAUUUUGAAAUCACUGAAAGGUAGGUCAAUUAUGGACAAUUUGAAAAGGCUUUAAUUUUUGAAAGCAAAAUCAGAAUGACUUGAUAUUGAUAUGGUAUCACUGUGAGGUUGUAUACUGUUGAUCUAAAGUGG